RNAcentral lists this ribosomal RNA (253 nucleotides) under uncultured bacterium. RNAcentral describes it as "partial 16S ribosomal RNA". It matches the Rfam family "Bacterial small subunit ribosomal RNA", at positions 524 to 776 of the family's 1533-position model. The record is from RNAcentral.
UACGUAGGGAGCAAGCGUUGUCCGGAAUCAUUGGGCGUAGAGCGCGCGUAGGCGGCCCCGUAAGUCCGCUGUGAAAGUCGAAGGCUCAACCUUCGAAAGCCGGUGGAUACUGUGGGGCUAGAGUACGGAAGAGGCGAGUGGAAUUCCUGGUGUAGCGGUGGAAUGCGCAGAUAUCAGGAGGAACACCAAUAGCGAAGGCAGCUCGCUGGGACGUUACUGACGCUGAGGCGCGAAAGCGUGGGGAGCGAACAGG